AAUCAACCGCCAUCAGCACCACCACCCACACCUGCAGGGAGGCGCUUCCUUCCCCGUCUUUCCAAGGAGCCUGCGCAGAGGCCGAACUACGCCUGGUGGGCACUACAACGAGAUCUAGCCCGGGGUCUGCUCCAAAUGGCAUUCAUCCUUGGGGAGAAAAGUUGAAUAAAUACACCCAAGGAUAUACGUACGAGGAUGUUUGCUGCAGUGAGGUGUCAGAUUAUGAAAACGGGGAAUCAGUCUUACAAGGGAUGCCGCCUGGACACCCUUUAUCAGUGACUAACAGCUCACAACGGCCACCUCUGCAGAGAACUGCCCCGGUCAUUGGUGCUGAGCUUGGCAACCUGGAUUCUAAUCGGUCUCUCUGACUCCCUCGAAAUUUACAGACAUCGGGAAGGACCCCUCAUUUGACAGACAGGGACCCUGUUCCCUCCGUUGCUGAAAGAUCUUGAAGUCUGAGCAGAGUCAUAACCUACCCUCCAGCUGGAAUCCUAGCCACCCCUCCCCGUUUAACUGAGAGAUUGUCCAAGGGCAUCUCUCUCAAGAAGCCUGGACUCUGCUGUGGAUCACCUGAACUCAGCUUCCUGACCCUCAGAGUCCUUUGCUCUGUCUCUGCUAGAAGAAGGAGCUCCUCCUCCUGCCUGAAGCCCGUCGUCAGGAAGCAGCCCUGGAGUGCUGGGCCCUGAUGCAGCCUGGCCCUGACCACUGCAGUGAGUGUCUGGUCAGGGCCCAGGCAAUACCACCUUGAGACAUCCCCUCAACCGACUCAUUCAUUAUACAGAUAGGGAUGCUGGGGCCUGGAGAAGGAGUGGGUUUACCCAGGGUCACCCAGCUAGUAGGUGAUAAGAUGAGAACUUCAACCCAGGGACUUCGUCUGUGGCCCAGAG
This is a long non-coding RNA of Bubalus bubalis (water buffalo), 887 nucleotides long. RefSeq lists it as uncharacterized. NCBI's taxonomy places the organism in Eukaryota, Metazoa, Chordata, Mammalia, Artiodactyla, Bovidae. The transcript is spliced from 6 exons. The record is from RefSeq and is a predicted model, not a curated record.